AUCCUUCUGGUUCCUACAUGUGAUGAGUGGAUUUUCACAUGGCUGUGUGAGAUGUGCAUCCCGAACUGUUACGACUUGGCACAGUACCCAUCUGAUC
Small nucleolar RNA from Xenopus tropicalis (tropical clawed frog), 97 nucleotides. NCBI's taxonomy places the organism in Eukaryota, Metazoa, Chordata, Amphibia, Anura, Pipidae. The record is from Ensembl.